UCGACAUUGCCUAUGAGUAGUUCCUUUC
Molecule: small RNA, 28 nt
Filed under: Bombyx mori (domestic silkworm)
Lineage: Eukaryota; Metazoa; Arthropoda; Insecta; Lepidoptera; Bombycidae
Description: ovarian small RNA-28286
Source: RNAcentral